This is a long non-coding RNA of Girardinichthys multiradiatus, 831 nucleotides long. RefSeq lists it as uncharacterized. The transcript has 5 exons. The record is from RefSeq and is a predicted model, not a curated record. Lineage: Eukaryota; Metazoa; Chordata; Actinopteri; Cyprinodontiformes; Goodeidae.
UGGGAGCGAGUCUGGAUCGAUGGCUUUACUCUUAACUGAGUUCGAGGUGUUGACGAUCAUGUUCUCCAUUCUGGUUUUCGCCCUCUUCACACUCAUCGGGAUGAUCAACGAGGAGUGUCCACACUUGGAAGAAACUAAUGAAAAAGCCCAAAGCCAGGAGAUGUUGGUGUGACUACUUCCUGCUAAUAAGCACCCUGUGAGACAAACUCAACUGCAGUCUGGUGUGUGGCCAUGACGUUUUAUCAGUUCAUAAAACCAAUUCUGCCAGGUUGAUCUCUGAACGCGGACCUAGUGUAACUUGCUUCCAGGAUGAGGCACAAAGGUCUGCCAGGCGUAUCUCUGAACGCGUGUUUGUGCGUUUGUUUGAGGACCUAGUGUAGCUUGCUUCCAGGAUGAGGUACAGAGGAGUGGCCUACAUUGUGCAACUAAAAAAAGCAAUAAACAGACACCUGCUCCAACAAAGUGUCUCCUGACAGGAUCGCCAGCCGGCUCGACUUUCAGAUGUCAGGAGACAACAAGAAAAGCUUCCUUUGUGAACUAAUUCUGGAAAACAGCCUGUGUACUCCUUCCAUCAAUCAUCAAGAACGUCCAAUAAUGAGAGGGUCAGCUGCAGUGAAGAGAGCAUCAAGACAUCCAGGAGUGUCCCUUAAGCACCAGGACUCCUCAUAAGGAGUGUGCUACAGAAUCAAGUUGCCACCAGCGCAGAGGUUGGUCAACAUUUGUAGCAGAUUUCCUGAAUCUGAGGAGAAAAUACCACAGACACCACUGUCCACACAGACGCUGCAUGCCUCUCCACUCGAGGGUCCCUUUCCCCUGAGGUGGAGAAAAGUG